UCGAGAAUCUUCGGCAAUGGGCGAAAGCCUGACCGAGCGAUGCCGCGUGCGGGAUGAAGGCCUUCGGGUUGUAAACCGCUGUCGUAGGGGAGAAAGGGUCGUUGAAGAAACGACUUUGAUCUAUCCUAGGAGGAAGUCCGGGCUAAGUUCGUGCCAGCAGCCGCGGUAACACGAACCGGACAAACGUUAUUCGGAAUUACUGGGCUUAAAGGGUGCGUAGGCGGUGCGGUAAGUGCGGUGUGAAAUCCCACGGCUCAACCGUGGAAUUGCGCUGCAUACUGCCGUGCUAGAGGGAGACAGGGGUAAGCGGAACUGAUGGUGGAGCGGUGAAAUGCGUUGAUAUCAUCAGGAACACCGGUGGCGAAAGCGGCUUACUGGGUCUCUUCUGACGCUGAGGCACGAAAGCUAGGGUAGCGAACGGGAUUAGAUACCCCUGUAGUCCCUGAGCGGGCUGGCAAGGCGCAU
This 465-nucleotide ribosomal RNA is filed under the name uncultured bacterium. Its description in RNAcentral is "bacterial SSU rRNA". It matches the Rfam family "Bacterial small subunit ribosomal RNA", at positions 355 to 825 of the family's 1533-position model. The record is from RNAcentral.